GCUAAAUUUAUUAGAUAUAACCAGAACCAAAUAUGGAGAAGCAGCAUUCAACUUCUGCUCCACAAAUCUAGAACAAUCUUCCAGAAAACUGAAAAACAG
Molecule: long non-coding RNA, 99 nt
Organism: Xiphophorus couchianus (Monterrey platyfish)
Lineage: Eukaryota; Metazoa; Chordata; Actinopteri; Cyprinodontiformes; Poeciliidae
Exons: 3
Source: RefSeq, a predicted model, not a curated record